AUUGAACGCUGGCGGCAGGCCUAACACAUGCAAGUCGAGCGGAUGAAGGGAGCUUGCUCCUGGAUUCAGCGGCGGACGGGUGAGUAAUGCCUAGGAAUCUGCCUGGUAGUGGGGGAUAACGUCCGGAAACGGGCGCUAAUACCGCAUACGUCCUGAGGGAGAAAGUGGGGGAUCUUCGGACCUCCCGCUAUCAGAUGAGCCUGGGUCGGAUUAGCUAGUGGGUGGGGUAAAGGCCUACCAAGGCGACGAUCCGUAACUGGUCUGAGAGGAUGAUCAGUAAAAAUGGAACUGAGACACGGUCCAGACUCCUACGGGAGGCAGCAGUGGGGAAUAUUGGACAAUGGGCGAAAGCCUGAUCCAGCCAGGCCGCGUGUGGGAAGAAGGUCUUCGGAUUGUAAAGCACUUUAAGUUGGGAGGAAGGGCAGUAAGUUAAUACCUUGCUGUUGUGACGUUACCAACAGAAUAAGCACCGGCUAACUUCGUG
RNAcentral lists this ribosomal RNA (484 nucleotides) under uncultured bacterium. RNAcentral describes it as "partial 16S ribosomal RNA". It matches the Rfam family "Bacterial small subunit ribosomal RNA", at positions 30 to 507 of the family's 1533-position model. The record is from RNAcentral.